AAAUUAUAAGUACAUAAUUUCAAAUGACAUCAAUAGUUUCUUUCUACAACUUAUCUCGACUUAAAUGGAACAAAAGAUUUCCGUCGGUCAAAUCUUAUACCUGGACUAUACAACCAUAUCAAAAACUGAAUAUUGUUCAACAAGUUCACUAGAAUACACAUCACAUUAAUUCAUAAGAGAAAGCAUUAUAUACCACAAUGCAGAACUGGACUUGGUCGUUUUACUUCUGAAGGUGCUGCUGGUAGAACAUGAACUUGCUGUGCCUUACUAGCAUUGUAAACUUGACCAGGACUGAACGGUUCUAAUCUUGAACUAGAAGCUAUCUCAGUUUUACGAACCAUAUCUUUAAAAAGAAGUUAAUGGAUGUUAGCAACAUAAACUUACAAAAAUACGAAGUAAAUUAUGUUAAAAGGUCAAAGAUAUAAGUAAUGAAAUAAGAGAAUGAAAAAACAAGAGUGAAAAUCCUUUAGUGUUAGAACACUUACCACUCUUGGACUCUGGUGCUGGAAUAU
Molecule: long non-coding RNA, 512 nt
Organism: Ceratina calcarata
Lineage: Eukaryota; Metazoa; Arthropoda; Insecta; Hymenoptera; Apidae
Exons: 3
Source: RefSeq, a predicted model, not a curated record